Molecule: ribosomal RNA, 594 nt
Filed under: Mylopharodon conocephalus (hardhead)
Lineage: Eukaryota; Metazoa; Chordata; Actinopteri; Cypriniformes; Leuciscidae
Description: partial 16S ribosomal RNA
Rfam family: Bacterial large subunit ribosomal RNA
Source: RNAcentral
AUAUGAGAGUUAGUUAAAAGGGGUACAGCCCUUUUAACAAAGGAUACAACCUUUACAGGAGGAUAAAGAUCAUAACAUAUAAAACAUACUGUUUUAGUGGGCCUAAAAGCAGCCACCUAAAUAGAAAGCGUUAAAGCUCAGACAGAAAGAAGUUUAUUAUACCGAUAAAAAAUCUUAUUCCCCUAAUUAUAUCAGACUAACCCAUGCCUACAUGGAAGAGAUUAUGCUAGAAUGAGUAACAAGAAGACCUGCGCUUCUCCUUGCACAAGUGUAAACCAGAUCGGACAAACCACUGGAACUUAACGAACCCAACCCAAGAGGGCAAUGUGAGCAACAAAAACCUCAAGAAGAACUCACAAUCAUAAUAAUCGUUAACCCUACACUGGAGUGCCAUUUUAUAAAGGAAAGACUAAAAGAUAAGGAAGGAACUCGGCAAACACAAGCCUCGCCUGUUUACCAAAAACAUCGCCUCCUGCGACUAGAUUGAGUAUAGGAGGUCCAGCCUGCCCAGUGACUACGGGUUCAACGGCCGCGGUAUUUUGACCGUGCAAAGGUAGCGCAAUCACUUGUCUCUUAAAUAGAGACCUGUAUGAA